This 510-nucleotide ribosomal RNA is filed under the name uncultured bacterium. Its description in RNAcentral is "partial 16S ribosomal RNA". It matches the Rfam family "Bacterial small subunit ribosomal RNA", at positions 28 to 507 of the family's 1533-position model. The record is from RNAcentral.
GACGAACGCUGGCGGCGUGCUUAACACAUGCAAGUCGAACGAAGAGCGAUGGAAGCUUGCUUCUAUCAAUCUUAGUGGCGAACGGGUGAGUAACGCGUAAUCAACCUGCCCUUCAGAGGGGGACAACAGUUGGAAACGACUGCUAAUACCGCAUACGAUCUAAUCUCGGCAUCGAGGAUAGAUGAAAGGUGGCCCCUACAUGUAAGCUAUCACUGAAGGAGGGGAUUGCGUCUGAUUAGCUAGUUGGAGGGGUAACGGCCCACCAAGGCGAUGAUCAGUAGCCGGUCUGAGAGGAUGAACGGCCACAUUGGGACUGAGACACGGCCCAGACUCCUACGGGAGGCAGCAGUGGGGAAUCUUCCGCAAUGGACGAAAGUCUGACGGAGCAACGCCGCGUGAGUGAUGACGGCCUUCGGGUUGUAAAGCUCUGUUAAUCGGGACGAAAGGCCUUCUUGCGAAUAGGGAGAAGGAUUGACGGUACCGGAAUAGAAAGCCACGGCUAACUACGUG